UAUUUUAAAGAGAGUUUGAUCCUGGCUCAGGACGAACGCUGGCGGCGUGCCUAAUACAUGCAAGUCGAACGAACGGAGGAAGAGCUUGCUCUUCCAAAGUUAGUGGCGGACGGGUGAGUAACACGUGGGCAACCUGCCUGUAAGUUGGGGAUAACUCCGGGAAACCGGGGCUAAUACCGAAUGAUAGAAUGUGGCGCAUGCCACGCUUUUGAAAGAUGG
This 219-nucleotide ribosomal RNA is filed under the name Listeria monocytogenes. RNAcentral's name for it is "partial 16S ribosomal RNA". It matches the Rfam family "Bacterial small subunit ribosomal RNA", at positions 1 to 210 of the family's 1533-position model. Lineage: Bacteria; Bacillati; Bacillota; Bacilli; Caryophanales; Listeriaceae. The record is from RNAcentral.